RNAcentral lists this ribosomal RNA (376 nucleotides) under uncultured bacterium. Its description in RNAcentral is "bacterial SSU rRNA". It matches the Rfam family "Bacterial small subunit ribosomal RNA", at positions 524 to 898 of the family's 1533-position model. The record is from RNAcentral.
GACGAACCGUACGAACGUUAUUCGGAAUUACUGGGCUUAAAGGGUGCGUAGGCUGUGCGGAAAGUUGGGUGUGAAAUCCUCCAGCUCAACUGGGGAACUGCGCUCAAAACUACCGUGCUCGAGGGAGACAGAGGUGAGCGGAACUUAGGGUGGAGCGGUGAAAUGCGUUGAUAUCCUAAGGAACACCGGUGGCGAAAGCGGCUCACUGGGUCUCUUCUGACGCUGAGGCACGAAAGCUAGGGGAGCAAACGGGAUUAGAUACCCCGGUAGUCCUAGCUGUAAACUCUGAGCACUGGAUCGAAGGGUCCUCCAUAGCCUUUCGGUCGUAGCGAAAGUGGUAAGUGCUCCGCCUGGGGAGUAUGGUCGCAAGGCUGAA